Molecule: non-coding RNA, 2764 nt
Organism: Xyrichtys novacula (pearly razorfish)
Lineage: Eukaryota; Metazoa; Chordata; Actinopteri; Labriformes; Labridae
Source: the annotation of a GenBank genome assembly
CUUCGGAGGAGUUAGCGAAAUUCCAAUGUGUGCGGAUCGGCAAAAAAUGCAAAAUAACCCUUUAACCGUAAUUUUGACAGAUACGGCCGCACUGACUUUUUUGUAGAUCUUAUUGAGAUACAUAUGUGUGUCAAUUUUUGUGUCAAUAUGACAAAGUGUACAGGCGUGACAGUCAAUAGUGUGAAUUUCCACCUUAGGGGGCGCUAUGGAGCCAUUUUGCAUUUUAUUGUUUAGGCGACUUCAGAAUAUCGAAUUUUUCACCAGGCCCGGUCGUCCUGCCAAAUUUCAUGAGUUUUCGCCAGUGGGAAGUGGGCCAUUUUCCAGUUCAAAGGGGAGGAAAAAGAAGAAAGAAAGAAAGAACUAGGGCCCCGUUGGGGCACUGGCGGGCCCGAGCCGUGUCGCGCUGCCCCCCCCAACGCGCUGCCUCCUUGUCCCAUUCGCGUCCUCUGGCCAUCGCCCUCUCUGGUAACGCCCAUCACUGCAAAGACUCUUUCCUUCAUCGGCGUUUGCUGUUCUUCCUGCCAGUGCGUGUUGCUUUCACUUACACUUGCCACAGCCAGCCUCGUGAGUACCUAGCCUAUUGGAUAUCACUGUCAUCUACACAGGACAGUCAUAACCUUUCUAUUAAUACUUGUUUUUUAAUUUCACAUUAAUUUCAAUAUUGUAUAAAUGACUGGAAAAAACUUGAGCCCCUGCCCCUGUAUAAUCAUGUGCACGUCCCUGUUCUAGCUCCAAGGUGAAUCUUCACUGCUCAUGUUCUCCUCAGAAGUAGUCACCUCACUUUCCUCAGGUGACUGUACACAUGCACCAACUGCCUGCUUCAGGUUUGGAUGGAGCUUCAUGGUUGUCUUUUGGAGAAAUGAGCAGUCAAGUUGUGUUUGAAAUUUGAUUUUUUUCAGGGGCAAAAAGGGGCCUCUGCAUUCUAGUCAAAUAUGUAAAUAGCAUGUUUUUGCAGGUGCUAAAAAAAAGACUCUGAGUGUGUGUGUGUGUAUAUCCUGCAGUACUCUGAGAAGAAUAAUAAGCAUAUUUCUGAGGUGAAUUUUGAAGAUUCAUCUGAGAGUUAGGAGGGCUGAUCAUUCCCUUACCCUUUAGAUGUCUGUCUAUGUCUGUUUUUGUGUGAUAAUGAAAGAAUCCCAACUCAAAAAGGCUCUGUUGAUGUUUUUUUUUUGUUGUUGUUCAUUCAUAUUCAAACCACUAUUUUAUAUCACUGCUAAUACGCCAAGACCAUUUUAUGGAAUUUAGCUUUAUUAUUUCUAUACAUUUUGCAAGGAAAGAAACCAAGGCCUUCACUAAAAUUUCCAUAAACUUUAGGAAAGGACCUCUGGUUGUUUAACGGGGUCAUUACUGCAAAAACAUAUUCUUCCUAAAUUUUGAAGGUCAAACCUUAGAUCCAUUAGGUUUAAAUAGAAAAAGCAUUAAAAUAUGUUAGGAUUAUAGCAUAUGACAAAUAUGUGCCUUUCAGUGGCCACAACUACUUUGUCUGCUGGCUCUGCAGUCGAUUGACGCUCCCCAGCGUUCAAGUCACAUUACAUAUUUAACCGGAUGUAGCAGCAAGACGGAGCCUCGUUGACUCUCCGUUUCAACUUAUCUCAAAAGUGAGGACCUCAAACUAUACACCAGUUUUCAAAUUGUGUUGAUAGGCCAAAUAAAACCAGAGUUAUGAUAAAUUAUGUCCGCGAUACUUUUUUUCUGCUUAUUUUGAUCACGUUCGGCGCUCGAUCGCGCUGUAUGAGACAGGAAAACAUAGCAUGCAGACAUUAGCGACAGGUCUUACAGGCGGAAAAGGCUUGCCAAAGAAAAAAAAAAAACACACCACAACAUCUCUCCUAUUGGUGGAAAACUUCACCACAACAACCAAUCCAAAAUUAUAUGGUGACUGAUUGACAAAGGGGCGGGCGCUUACGUUCUUCCUGCAACAUGAGAAGGGAGGGAGGAACUCUCAGCAGGGAUGCAGUCUGGGACACGUAGUUGCAAACCUAGCGACUUUGUUGUUAGAUUCAAUGACUUUUCAGACCCCCUAACGACUUUUUUUUAGAAAGAAAGGGACUUUUAUCGACUUCUUCUGGAGUUUAGAGACUCUGACAUGAAGCAGGCUUUCCUUACUGAGGAGUUAGCAACGCUGCUAAGGGUGCAGAGCCACACAUGCGCUCCGAGCUCUGCAUGGGAGACUAAAGCUGACAGAGCUGCAGCAGUUAGCAGGUUCUCACCCUCAGAGACCACCAGGGGUUCAUGUUGAGGCAUUUUCAGUUUUUUUUUUUUUUUGCCAUAGACACUGUCAGCACAAUCUGCAGUUACACUAACAAAAAUGCUGCAAAAAACAAAGAAUUAUGGAAAAAUUACACAUGGACUGACAUAGAGGAGGAUCUACACAAGUUUUUACAUCAUGUUUUACAUCAUGCAUCAUUUACAUCAUGUUUUUUUGUAGUGGCAUAAAUAAAAAUUGACAUUUGUGAGACUAUACAGUGUUUUGUAAAUAAUUUUACAAAGAACGCCUGGGCCAUUGCCUGCAUUUUGAUGUAAAUAGAGGUAAAUUACUAUGUUCUUUGUUAAAAAUUUGCAUAUGUUUUGAAGUUUACAAUUUUUAUUUGAAGUUUAAGUUUUAAAAACAGUUCAUCACACAUAUUUGUGGUUUAAUUUCACAUUAAUUUCCAUAUUGUAUAAAUGACUGGAAAAAACUUGAGCCCCUGCCCCUGUAUAAUCAUGUGCACGUCCCUGUUCUAGCUCCAAGGUGAAUCUUCACUGCUCAUGUUCUCCUCAGAAAUAG